AGCGUACACGGUGGAUGCCCUGGCAGUCAGAGGCGAUGAAGGACGUGCUAAUCUGCGAUAAGCGUCGGUAAGGUGAUAUGAACCGUUAUAACCGGCGAUUUCCGAAUGGGGAAACCCAGUGUGUUUCGACACACUAUCAUUAACUGAAUCCAUAGGUUAAUGAGGCGAACCGGGGGAACUGAAACAUCUAAGUACCCCGAGGAAAAGAAAUCAACCGAGAUUCCCCCAGUAGCGGCGAGCGAACGGGGAGCAGCCCAGAGCCUGAAUCAGUGUGUGUGUUAGUGGAAGCGUCUGGAAAGGCGCGCGAUACAGGGUGACAGCCCCGUACACAAAAAUGCACAUGCUGUGAGCUCGAUGAGUAGGGCGGGACACGUGGUAUCCUGUCUGAAUAUGGGGGGACCAUCCUCCAAGGCUAAAUACUCCUGACUGACCGAUAGUGAACCAGUACCGUGAGGGAAAGGCGAAAAGAACCCCGGCGAGGGGAGUGAAAAAGAACCUGAAACCGUGUACGUACAAGCAGUGGGAGCACGCUUAGGCGUGUGACUGCGUACCUUUUGUAUAAUGGGUCAGCGACUUAUAUUCUGUAGCAAGGUUAACCGAAUAGGGGAGCCGAAGGGAAACCGAGUCUUAACUGGGCGUUAAGUUGCAGGGUAUAGACCCGAAACCCGGUGAUCUAGCCAUGGGCAGGUUGAAGGUUGGGUAACACUAACUGGAGGACCGAACCGACUAAUGUUGAAAAAUUAGCGGAUGACUUGUGGCUGGGGGUGAAAGGCCAAUCAAACCGGGAGAUAGCUGGUUCUCCCCGAAAGCUAUUUAGGUAGCGCCUCGUGAAUUCAUCUCCGGGGGUAGAGCACUGUUUCGGCAAGGGGGUCAUCCCGACUUACCAACCCGAUGCAAACUGCGAAUACCGGAGAAUGUUAUCACGGGAGACACACGGCGGGUGCUAACGUCCGUCGUGAAGAGGGAAACAACCCAGACCGCCAGCUAAGGUCCCAAAGUCAUGGUUAAGUGGGAAACGAUGUGGGAAGGCCCAGACAGCCAGGAUGUUGGCUUAGAAGCAGCCAUCAUUUAAAGAAAGCGUAAUAGCUCACUGGUCGAGUCGGCCUGCGCGGAAGAUGUAACGGGGCUAAACCAUGCACCGAAGCUGCGGCAGCGACGCUUAUGCGUUGUUGGGUAGGGGAGCGUUCUGUAAGCCUGUGAAGGUGUACUGUGAGGUAUGCUGGAGGUAUCAGAAGUGCGAAUGCUGACAUAAGUAACGAUAAAGCGGGUGAAAAGCCCGCUCGCCGGAAGACCAAGGGUUCCUGUCCAACGUUAAUCGGGGCAGGGUGAGUCGACCCCUAAGGCGAGGCCGAAAGGCGUAGUCGAUGGGAAACAGGUUAAUAUUCCUGUACUUGGUGUUACUGCGAAGGGGGGACGGAGAAGGCUAUGUUGGCCGGGCGACGGUUGUCCCGGUUUAAGCGUGUAGGCUGGUUUUCCAGGCAAAUCCGGAAAAUCAAGGCUGAGGCGUGAUGACGAGGCACUACGGUGCUGAAGCAACAAAUGCCCUGCUUCCAGGAAAAGCCUCUAAGCAUCAGGUAACAUCAAAUCGUACCCCAAACCGACACAGGUGGUCAGGUAGAGAAUACCAAGGCGCUUGAGAGAACUCGGGUGAAGGAACUAGGCAAAAUGGUGCCGUAACUUCGGGAGAAGGCACGCUGAUAUGUAGGUGAAGCGACUUGCUCGUGGAGCUGAAAUCAGUCGAAGAUACCAGCUGGCUGCAACUGUUUAUUAAAAACACAGCACUGUGCAAACACGAAAGUGGACGUAUACGGUGUGACGCCUGCCCGGUGCCGGAAGGUUAAUUGAUGGGGUUAGCGCAAGCGAAGCUCUUGAUCGAAGCCCCGGUAAACGGCGGCCGUAACUAUAACGGUCCUAAGGUAGCGAAAUUCCUUGUCGGGUAAGUUCCGACCUGCACGAAUGGCGUAAUGAUGGCCAGGCUGUCUCCACCCGAGACUCAGUGAAAUUGAACUCGCUGUGAAGAUGCAGUGUACCCGCGGCAAGACGGAAAGACCCCGUGAACCUUUACUAUAGCUUGACACUGAACAUUGAGCCUUGAUGUGUAGGAUAGGUGGGAGGCUUUGAAGUGUGGACGCCAGUCUGCAUGGAGCCGACCUUGAAAUACCACCCUUUAAUGUUUGAUGUUCUAACGUUGACCCGUAAUCCGGGUUGCGGACAGUGUCUGGUGGGUAGUUUGACUGGGGCGGUCUCCUCCUAAAGAGUAACGGAGGAGCACGAAGGUUGGCUAAUCCUGGUCGGACAUCAGGAGGUUAGUGCAAUGGCAUAAGCCAGCUUGACUGCGAGCGUGACGGCGCGAGCAGGUGCGAAAGCAGGUCAUAGUGAUCCGGUGGUUCUGAAUGGAAGGGCCAUCGCUCAACGGAUAAAAGGUACUCCGGGGAUAACAGGCUGAUACCGCCCAAGAGUUCAUAUCGACGGCGGUGUUUGGCACCUCGAUGUCGGCUCAUCACAUCCUGGGGCUGAAGUAGGUCCCAAGGGUAUGGCUGUUCGCCAUUUAAAGUGGUACGCGAGCUGGGUUUAGAACGUCGUGAGACAGUUCGGUCCCUAUCUGCCGUGGGCGCUGGAGAACUGAGGGGGGCUGCUCCUAGUACGAGAGGACCGGAGUGGACGCAUCACUGGUGUUCGGGUUGUCAUGCCAAUGGCACUGCCCGGUAGCUAAAUGCGGAAGAGAUAAGUGCUGAAAGCAUCUAAGCACGAAACUUGCCCCGAGAUGAGUUCUCCCUGACUCCUUGA
RNAcentral lists this ribosomal RNA (2787 nucleotides) under human gut metagenome. Its description in RNAcentral is "bacterial LSU rRNA". It matches the Rfam family "Bacterial large subunit ribosomal RNA". The record is from RNAcentral.